This 545-nucleotide ribosomal RNA is filed under the name Colpoda henneguyi. Its description in RNAcentral is "SSU rRNA". It matches the Rfam family "Eukaryotic small subunit ribosomal RNA", at positions 350 to 905 of the family's 1831-position model. Lineage: Eukaryota; Ciliophora; Colpodea; Colpodida; Colpodidae. The record is from RNAcentral.
CGAUCACGGGUAACGGGGAAUUAGGGUUCGAUUCCGGAGAGGGAGCCUGAGAAAUGGCUACCACAUCUAAGGAAGGCAGCAGGCGCGUAAAUUACCCAAUCCUAAUUCAGGGAGGUAGUGACAAGAAAUAACAACUCGGACCUCACACGAGGUUACGAGAUUGCAAUGAGAACAAUUUAAACCUCUUAUCGAGUAACAAUUGGAGGGCAAGUCUGGUGCCAGCAGCCGCGGUAAUUCCAGCUCCAAUAGCGUAUAUUAAAGUUGUUGCAGUUAAAAAGCUCGUAGUUGAAUAUCUGGCCGGUGGUGUGCGUGGCUCCCGUAGUCUGUACAUCGCCUGGUUAUCCGUAUGGGAAACCAGCUCGACCUUCACUGUGUCGGCUGGCGGAUCAUACACUUUACUUUGAAAAAAUUAGAGUGUUUCAGGCAGGCAAUUGCUUGGAUACUGUAGCAUGGAAUAAUGGAAUAGGACUUUGACCUAUUUGUUGGUUUCUCGAGGUCAAAGUAAUGAUUAAUAGGGACAGUUGGGGGCAUUCGUAUUUAAUGUC